GUAGGGUCCAAGCGUUAAUCGGAAUUACUGGGCGUAAAGCGUGCGCAGGCGGUUGUGCAAGACCGAUGUGAAAUCCCCGAGCUUAACUUGGGAAUUAGCAUUGGUGACUGCACGGCUAGAGUGUGUCAGAGGGGGUAGAAUUCCACGUGUAGCGGUGAAAUGCGUAGAGAUGUGGAGGAAUACCGAUGGCGAAGGCAGCCCCCUGGGAUAACACUGACGCUCAUGCACGAAAGCGUGGGAGCAAACAGGAUUAGAUACCCUGGUAGUCCACGCCCUAAACGAUGUCAACUAGUUGUUGGGGAUUCAUUUCCUUAGUACGUAGCUAACGCGUGAAGUUGACCGCCUGGGGAGUACGGUCGCAAGAUUA
Molecule: ribosomal RNA, 367 nt
Filed under: uncultured bacterium
Lineage: Bacteria
Description: bacterial SSU rRNA
Rfam family: Bacterial small subunit ribosomal RNA
Source: RNAcentral